CAGAAACCAUGUGUCAAGCUCGGAUUGCCUUAGACAGGUGCAAUUUAAGAACAGCUUUCAUCCUCUUUUCUCUCAUAUUGUCACACUAUGUGUUCUGACUUCUGGCUCCUUUCCUCACAAGAAGCUCACCCAGCUGGAACUCUUAUGGGACCUUGGCACCAGAGACCACAAAUUCCUCUUUGAAGUUUUCUAACAGCAACAAUGGUAUUUCUGACUUGGCUUUCUUGUAUUUCUCUCACGUUAACAAAAUUGGUUCAGCAUCUACCAUGGGCUACAUGCUGAGCUACAGAGUUUCGCUCUGUCGCCCAGGCUGGAGUGCAGUGGCGCGCGAUCUCGGUUCACUGCAAGCUCCACCUCCCGGGUUCACGCCAUUCUCCUGCCUCAGCCUCCUGAGUAGCUGGGACUACAGGCGCCCGCCACCACACCCAGGAAUCCAACUUGCUGUUUGCUAUCACAUGUGCUAUACAUGCUGUUGAUGAAACUGCUAAAGGGGCUGAAUGUGACUGACGUCUUUGGAAGGAUGAGACUUAGCGUGCCUGUACAGUUGUGUCCAAAUGCUGUCCUCAUCUCCCAAUGAAAAGCUGAACUAGGGCCAUGCCUGGGACAGACAGAGAAUGGCCUUCCAGCAGACAUGCCAAGAAGCAAGCCAGGGUCAGUGAGUGAAGAGGAGGGCAGGCCCAUUUGAAGCAACACAGUUUAUGUAAGUGUGAUCUAACUGCUUUCACUGGAAAUGGGUCAGACUCCAGUUGAGAGAACCAGGGGCCUGAAUGACCCCAGCAAAAUCACUGUGGCAAUUCUUUCAAUCACCUCUGAGAAUAUGGCCCUGUGACGACAUAAUGACGUUUGGAUUAAUUCCAGUCGGCUGUGUUUUCCCCUCCUUUCUUGCCUCCCCGUAGUUGAUUUGCCAAAUUUUUUUUGUUUGCUUAAAUACGCGGAACUAAACAGGAUACAUUAUAUGACAGUCUGUGAUAAAUUUACCACUGGGAAUAGGGAAAAAGUAUGGGAUAAAGAAAUAGGUAUUUUUCGCCUCUCACAGCUGUGAUUCAGUUCUGACUCAAAAGGAAGUGUGCCACCUACUGAAUCACAGAAACCACUUCCUGUGGCUGUUUGGUUUAUUCUGGAGGAGCAUCAGGCCAAGUGCUGCCCUGCCCUGACCCUGACUGGCUCUUCAGAGCCAAGGCAUUCACAGCUUGAGGUGGUUUGGCCUCAGACUCUUGAGAACAUUGCAUAUUAAAUUACAAGUGUUUCGUUUCCUAGCAAGGAGUCUUUAGCAACAUGAAAACGAACGUGUGUUAUUUGCAAACCAAGUAUAUCAUUACUGAACCUGAAUAUCCUUACUUUUUCAUAAGGUACGUAUUCCGGAUGACCACUCUUAAGAUCUGAAUGUACACUGGUUCUGUUUUUCCUGAGGGGAACUUGGGCAGUCUGCAGGGUGGCAUUUACCAGCUGAGGGACUUCAAGAGCACCCUUUAAUCAGUGUGGCAGCACUCAACUUGUAUUCACUCACUCAGAGUAUUUUUGAGCAUGUACUUAUUGCCAUGUGCUGUGCUAGGUAGGGGUAGAGGGUACAGUGGUGAACAAGACCCCACAGCUCCUGACCUCAUGGCUCAUGUGUUCUACACCAUAAGGGAAUCAAGCUGUGUCUCCCGGGGCAGGGGCCUUCCUCUGUUCACCAUGCAGCCCCAGCAUCUAGCACCUGGCGUUGCAUAAAGGAGGCUCUAAAUCAAGCUUGUCCAACCCAAGGCCCACGGGCCACAUGUGGCCCAGGAUGGCUUUGAAUGCAGCCAAACACAAAUUUGUAAACUUUCUUAAAACAUUAUAAGAUUUGUGUGUAUGUGUUUUAGUCCAUCAGCUAUUGUUAGUGUUCAUGUAUUUUAUGUGUGGCCCAAGACAAUUCUUCUAUGUGGCCCAAGGAAACCAAAGAUUGAACACUCCUGCUCUAAAUACUUGUUUGUUGAAUAGAUACAUGAAAAGAAAGAAGGAGAGAAGGAAGAAAGGAGGGCGGAAGGAAAGGAAGAAGGGAGAGAAGAAGAGAAGAAAGAAGCAGAGAAAGGAAGAGAAAAGAAAUUACGGCCAGUGCGGUGGCUCACGCCUGUAAUCCUAGCACUUUGGGAGGCCUAAGCGGGCUGAUCACCUGAGGUCAGGAGUUCGUAAGCCAGCCUGGCCAACAUGGUGAAACCCUAUCUCUACUAAAAAUACAAAAAUCAGCAGGGCAUGGUGGUGCGUGCCUGUAAUCCCAGCUACCUGGGAGGCUGAGGUAGGAGAAUCGCUGGAACCCGAGAGGCGGAGGCUGCAGUGAGUUGAGAUCAUGUCACUGCACUCCAGGCUGGGCAACAGAGUGAGACUCUGUCUCAGAAAAAAAAAAAAAGAAAGAAAGAAAGAAAGAAAGUUACCAUUAGUUUUUUGUUGUAUUUGCAAGCAAAGACAAAAGCACCAAGGUACUUGUUUCCUUCUGUAAUUAGAGUUUCAAAUAGACUAAAAGUUUCUGCUCUUAGGUGGGUCUAGAGACUCUCCAGUACCUCAGGACCUCAGGACACAUGGGGUCUCUUGGUUGUUUUCUUUUCAUUGUUGUUGUUUAUUUUAUUUUUGUUUUUAUUUUUUAACUUUAAAACAAUUUUUUGUAGAUGAAUAUGCUUACAUAUGUUUGGGGGUUUUUUUGAGACAGGGUCUUGCUCUGUUGCCCAGGCUGGAGAGCGGUGGUUUAACCACAGCUCACUGCAGCCUCGACCUCCCAAGGUAGGGACUGCAGGUGUGUACACUGGGGUGCACCACCACACCCAGCUAAUUUUUAAAUUUUUUUUUGUAGAUAUUGUCUCACUCUGUUGGCCAGACUGGUCUUGAAAUCCUGGGCUCGAGCAAUUCUCCUGCCUCGGCCUCGUAACGCGUUAGGAUUACAAGCGUGAACACCGCACCUGGCCAGCAUGUGGUCUCUUAACCAGAGGAGGCCUCUUCUGAACUAGGUAGAGGUCCUGAGAAUUGAUUCUGAGAGUAAAAGGCUCUUUGUUCUCCUCAGAGUAGAUUAGAAUCCCUAAUGAUAGAGCAUCUAUUAUUCCUCUAGUGGUCCAUGCCCAACAGAUUCAUCCAAGAAUAGAUGAAGAUCUUUGUAAUGUUGUGCAAGUAAUCUAAUCACCCCACAGAAGAGCUGUGACUUAAAUUAUCCCAGAGUCGGCCCACCUGUUUUCAUAAAGAUCAAUGUAACUUGUAAAUUUCUUCAGUUCUCCUCACCUAUCAUCAUUUGACUAACAAAACCCAGAAAACUAGGCUAGUUAUGGUGGCCUAUGCAUAUAAUCCCAACUCUUUGAGAGGCCAGGGUGGGUGGAUUGCUUGAGUCCAGGAAUUCGAGACCAGCCUGGGCAACAAAGGGAGACCCUGCCUAUAUCCCAGCUAUGCAGGAGGCGAGGCCAGAGGAUUGCCUGAGCCUCAGAGGUUGAGGCUGUAGUGAGCCAUGAUUGCCCCACUACACUCCAGCCUGGAUGACAGAGUGAGACCCUGCCUUAAAAAUAAUAAUAAUAGUAAUAAUAUUUCAUAAAGAUACAGGAAACUAGAUUAUAAUUGACAUUUUCAAAGUGAAAUACUGUCUAGAAUGGUGCUUGGCCAACAGUAAGCUUUUUGUAAGUGGAAGUCAUUACUACUACUAUUUCUUUCAUUAUUAUUACCAUUACUACUUUUUUUUACAAAAAAAAAACCCUGGACAACACACUGAAACCAUUACUACUUCUACUACUAUAACUUAGGUUGCACCUGAUAGAGCCAGCAAUUUUUCCAAGGUAUGACAAUGGCCAUAUGUUUAAUGAUAUAAUUCUAUGGCUCAGUGUAUCUCAGCCUUUUUAAACCCUGCUCUUCUUUUGACAAUUGUAAAAAUCUUAAACUGACCUCCAGUUGAAAUCCUCUGUCAAGAAGAUAUUGUCGGCCAGGGGCGGUGGCUCACACCUGUAAUCCCAGCACUUUUGGAGGCCGAGGUGGGAGGAUCACUUGAGGUUAGGAGUUCAAGACCAGCCUGGCCAACAUAGUGAAACCCCAUCUCUACUAAAAAUACAAAAAUUAGGCAGGCAUGGUGGUGUGUGCCUGUAAUCCCAGCUACUCAGGAGGCUGAGGUAGGAGAAUUGCUUGAACCUGGCAGGGCAGAGGUUGCAGCAAGCCGAGAUCACGCCACUGCUCUCCAGCCUGGGUGAGACUGUCUCAAAAAAAAAAAAAAAAAAGAAAGAAAGUAAGAAAAAGAAGAAAUCCCAAUCUCUUCUUUUAUGUGGAUUCUUCCUCACUUGAAUAAUACUUUUCUUCCCCAGUAUUCUCCAUAUUAUCCCAGAGUCAGCCCCUCUGUUUUUGUAAAGAUCUACGUAACCUCCUCUAAGUUUCCCAGUUCUCCUCACCUAUCAUAUCAUUUGGCUCAACAAAGGGCAGGAAGCUAGAUUCUAAUUGAUAUUUUGAGGCCGGGAGCAGUGGCUCAUGCCUGUAAUCACAGCACUUUGGGAGGCUGAGGCGGGCAGAUCACUGGAGGUCAGGAGUUCGAGACCAGCCUGGCCAAUAUGGUGAAACCUCGUCUCUACUAAAAAUACAAAAAAUUAGCCAGGCUUGGUGGCUUGUACCUGUAAUCCCAGCUACUCAGGAGGCUGAGGCAGGAGAAUAGCUUAAACCUGGGAGGAAGAGGUUGCAGUGAGCCGAGAUUGCUCAAUUGCACCCCAGCCUGGGUGACAGAGCAAAACUCCAUCUCAAAAACAAACAAACGAACAAACCUGAUAUUUUCAAAAUUGAGGCAAUUAUAACAGCUAUUUAGCCAAGCAUUAUGAUAGCAAUAAUAGCAAGAAAAUAAAUUAGUUAACAAAUGAGUCUCAGAAGCCCAAUGAUUUUUAUUUUAUUUUUAUUUUUUGAACUUUUAUUUUAGAAUCAGGGGAUACAUGUGCAGGUUUGUUACCCGGGUAUAUUGCAUGAUGCUGAGUUUUGGAGUAUGCAUGAAUCCAACCUGUCAUCCAGGUAGUGAGUAUAGUACCCAACAGAUAGUUUUUUUAACAUUUACUUCACUCCCUUCCCCAAUCUUGUAUUCCCCUGUGUCUACUGUUCCCAUUUUUAUGACUGUGCCAACAAUAAUUUUUUUUCUUUUUUCUUUAAAUAGAGAUGGGGGUCUCUAUUUAAAGAGCCUCCCAAAGUGCUAGGAUUACAGGUGUGAUCCAUUGCACCUGGCCCAUGCCAACAAUAUUUGAAACCCUUAUCUGCGUGUACAAGUUUGCUACUGGUUUUGUUUUGCUC
This 5241-nucleotide long non-coding RNA is filed under the name Homo sapiens (human). RNAcentral describes it as "non-protein coding LUCAT1:10". The record is from RNAcentral. Lineage: Eukaryota; Metazoa; Chordata; Mammalia; Primates; Hominidae.